Molecule: unclassified non-coding RNA, 219 nt
Filed under: uncultured Thelephoraceae
Lineage: Eukaryota; Fungi; Basidiomycota; Agaricomycetes; Thelephorales; Thelephoraceae
Description: sequence contains ITS2
Source: RNAcentral
ACACCUCAACUCUCAUGGGUUUGCCAUGAUGAGCUUGGACUUUGGGGGUCUUGCUGGCCUGUGGUCGGCUCCUCUCAAAUGAAUCAGCUUUCCAGUGUUUGGUGGCAUCACGGGUGUGAUAAAUAUCUACGCUUGUGGUUUCCUGCCAGGUAACCUUCAGUGAUGGAGGUUCACUGGGGCUCAUAAAUGUCUCUCCUCAGCGAAGACAGCUUUGUGAAU